GUCUUUUCACAGUUUUGGUCCAUGCAAACAAGAUGGCUGCCACCUCGUGGUCAUCCAUAGGAAUUGCGGCCAGCCAGACGAACACUUAGACCACAGAGGUGUAAAUUGCAAUCAUUUAUCCAUUAAACUUAACAAGUUCCAGGGUGGUCUCCGGUUCGUGUGGCUGUUUGGUAAACUAACCAUAUGGUCCCAAUUGCACGAACAGAGCCUGUUAUAAGUCCAAGAUGCAC
This is a non-coding RNA of Pelobates cultripes (western spadefoot toad), 230 nucleotides long. The record is from the annotation of a GenBank genome assembly. Lineage: Eukaryota; Metazoa; Chordata; Amphibia; Anura; Pelobatidae.